Long non-coding RNA from Sycon ciliatum, 1623 nucleotides. RefSeq lists it as uncharacterized. The record is from RefSeq and is a predicted model, not a curated record. NCBI's taxonomy places the organism in Eukaryota, Metazoa, Porifera, Calcarea, Leucosolenida, Sycettidae. The transcript has 2 exons.
UUUGAAGACCACAGAGGAAAAGCAUAGGUCAAGAUCCGUAGUUUCGACAGAAGCUAACAGAACAACACAGACUUCUGGUAUGGAUCAUCGCUGCAUGGGUCAUGAAGCAAACAAACCACAACCAAUGGCAAACCUACCCUCAACACCGCCCUGCUCCAGAAUCCACUCAAAUACCAGGCCGAUCAGGUAAAUACUACAAGAGAACACAAUCAUACACACGAAUAAAACAUAGCAAGGUGUGUUGGCCAACAUACCGGUGCUCAAGAACGUAUUCCACCCUUUAAAAUCUCAGAGAUUAUUACCAAGUAGUUGCUAUGUGAAAGUGAUACAAUAUAUAUGUAGGACUCAGUAUAGAGUCCAUGCACUAUAUGAUGUCCAGCACCCUAUAUAGAGUCCAUUGGUCCAAAAUCCACUAUACAGAGUCCACGAGUCCACUCAGUUUUGAUCAGCUUCAACCUGCCGCGCAAUCCCCUAUAAGGAGUACACUUUUUCUACCAGUCCCCUAUUCACAGUCCAGGAGUCCAGUUUAUCCAGUCACGCCGUCCUGUGACUGUGUCUUGUGCCCGAAAAAGAACAAACACAUUUUCAGUUUUGCUUGCCUGGUGGCAGCGCAUUCCUUUCUUCACUUCAGCCAUGGCUGCCAGUUCUGCUGUGAAGUUGCUGACAGUAAUCUGUCACGAGGUAACCAAGGAGGAUAAGGAGACGUUCAAAAUCAAAUCUGGAAAGCGUCUUGUGGUUCUCUGAAGACGUUUCAUCAGUGCGCGGGAUGAAAGCAGAAAUUGCAGAACGAGAAAAGUUCAGCACAGUUCAAAUCUGACGAGUCAGGUACACUGACACUCUCUUUCGAUCGACGCCACAAGGAUCCCCUGUUUGGCUGGCCAUUGCUGCCAGUCUGAAGACGUUUGAACGGUUUCAUCAGAGCGAGGGAUGAAAGCAGAAAGCGGAGAAAGAGAAAAGUUCAGCACAGUUCCAAUCUGACGAGUCAGAUACACUGACACUCUCUUUCGUUCGACGCCACAAGGAUACCCUUGUUUGACUGGACAAGAGCUGCCUGUACCACCGUGUCAAAAGGCUGUCCAACUACAUGGCAGGACGAUGACUGAGGUGUGCUGAUUUUCAGAAGCUUGCGGAACUGAGUUCUGCUGAACAUUUGCAUGGCCAUGAGCAAUGGCGAAGCUUGCUAUUGCACUCUCAGCAUGUGCUAGUAUUAUGCCGACUACUGCACUAUGUUAAUCUCUUACACUACUACAUGUAUGUAAACGUGCGUGCAUCCGCCCACGUAUGCAUUCGUUUCGUAUAAUUAUUUGUUAUCCCUCUUGACUUUACUUGUAAAUGCGUGGACGUUUGCAUGGCUGUUGGAGUUGCGCGUGUAUUGUGUCUCUACUCUUUUUUUGGUGUUUUCUUGGCGUUGUACAAGUUUGUGUGUGUGUGUGCGCGCAAUAAUUUGAAAACAAAUAAUUAAUCCCGGGCUCUCCAUUAUUCUCUUUCGAUUCUUGUUUUUUUCUAGGUAUUUUCUUGGCGUUGUGUGGGUGUGUGCAUGUGUGUGUGUGCGUGCACAAUUAUUUGGCAACACUACAUGAUUGAGAUAUUGUAAUUUACAGCGUCUGCGAAGAGACCACUUGA